GUCGCGAACGGUACUCCAAUCCGGACGGUGCAACGUCAGUUAGCUGAAUGAAACAGAGAAAGAGAGCUUCGAAAAUCGUGAAUAAUUUUGUGAACAGUGCCAAACAUUACUGAGAAAAAUAAACAACAAUAAAAAUCAGUGAAAUAUUCAGAGGAAGAAUAAAAACUUUAACAGCAAAAAAUCUGCACACAUUUUGUGAGGUGUCUGAAGCAACAGCCGAAAGGAAGCAGAAACGAAGCCCGAAGCCAGCUCGUGGAUGUGCAUGAGCCGAAUGCCAUCGUCGUUGUCGUCGUCGUUCUCGUCCUCCGUGUGGGUGUUUAUUUAACACAGUUCCUCGUGCGCCGCCCGUUCAGUUCGUGUCCGAAGUCCGUGCCGUACGCGCUGCCUCAGACCUCCAAACCAAAGCGCGUGAAUUCGUUGAAAGCAGAGAGACAGUGACAGAGACGUAAACGUAAACGUAGAUAGUCAGGUGUCGCGUGUGAAAUGUGAAGAGUCGCUCAAGAUCGGUGCAUCCGUAACCAAAUGUCGCUCAACGUUAGCCUUGCUCAAGCUCCGCACUCACACAUCACACACACGUAGUGGACCAAUAGUGCACCAAUCAUCCAGUAAUCCGCAACAGUCGCGAGUGCCCGAACGAGAACUCUAUAGUGCAUCAAGAACCAAGGAAGACAAUACAAUGUGCUCCGUGGGGAACCUGCGCCCCCAAGGCGCAGACACUGGCCGCAAUCGCCGCCGCUCACACAGCUCCCACGGCCCCCUCAAUCGCCUUAGCCGCCUGAGCGCUCUGCUCCUCGUGCUGGGCGCGCAAAUAAUUUAUGUGGAAUAUGCUCGGGCGGAUUAUGAGAACACUUGGAAUUUAUAUUACGAGCCGCCCUGCUGCUCGGGAACAGCUGCCGGCCAUCAUCUGCGGCACCACAAAGAUCACGUCAAGGACUUUAGCUGCGGCCCACUGCACUACAGAACCUUCUAUAUGGAUGAGCGCAACAAUGCCCUCUAUGUGGGCGCCAUGGAUCGCAUCUUUCGGUUGAAUCUGCGCAACAUAAGCCAAUCGAUUUGCGAGCGCGAUGUCCUCAUCCUGGAACCCACCGGCUCUGACAUCCUCAACUGUGUGUCCAAGGGGAAGCGGGAGAAGGUGGAAUGCCGCAACCACAUACGCGUCAUCCAGCCAAUGAACUUCCAUGGACACCGACUCUAUGUGUGCGGCACGAAUGCCCACAAUCCCAAGGAUUACGUUAUAAAUGCAAACUUAACACAUUUACCCAGAUCCCAGUACGUGCCCGGCGUUGGCCUGGGCAUUGGCAAGUGUCCCUACGAUCCUGCUGACAACUCAACCGCCGUCUAUGUGGAGAACGGAAAUCCCUUUGGUUUGCCCGCACUGUAUGCCGGCACCAAUGCAGAAUUCACCAAGGCCGAUUCGGUUAUAUUCCGCUCGGAUCUCUACAAUCUGACCAACGGCCGCAAGGAGGCAAACUUCAAGCGAACAGUGAAAUACGACUCCAAGCUAUUGGACAAACCGAACUUUGUGGGCUCGUUUGAGAUUGGGGAAUUCGUGUACUUCUUUUUCCGCGAACAUGCCGUGGAGUAUAUAAACUGCGGCAAGGAGGUCUACUCCCGUGUGGCGCGCGUCUGCAAGAAUGAUCGCGGCGGCAAAUACAUGAUCAGCCAGAAUUGGGCCACGUAUCUGAAGGCACGCAUGAACUGCAGCAUCUCCAGCGAGUUCCCCUUCUACUUCAACGAGAUCCAGUCGGUCUACAAGAUGCCCAGCGACGACAGCAAGUUCUAUGCCACCUUUACAACGAAUACGAACGGUCUGAUUGGUUCCGCUGUCUGCAGCUAUGACAUCAGGGACAUCAAUGCGGCCUUUGAAGGAAAAUUCAAGGAGCAGGCCAGCUCGAACAGCGCCUGGCUGCCCGUACUCAACCAGAAAGUGCCGGAGCCACGUCCGGGCACAUGCCACAACGACACCGCCACACUGCCGGACUCCGUGUUGAAUUUCAUACGUAAACAUCCGCUAAUGGACAAGGCGGUCGAUCAUGAAUUUGGCAAUCCGGUCUUCUUCAAGCGAGACAUAAUACUCACCAAGCUGGUGGUGGACAAGAUACGCAUCGACAAGCUGAACCAGGAGUUUCUGGUGUACUUUGUGGCCACCAGCUCGGGGCAAAUCUACAAGAUUGUCCAGUUCAUGCACUACGGCCAGCGCCACUCCAAUCUGAUUGACAUCUUCGAGGCCUCGCCGCACAACGAACCCAUCCGCGAACUGAUUCUCAGCCAGAAGACGGGCUCCCUCUACCUGGCCACCGAUCACCAGGUGAAGCAGAUCGACAUUGCCAUGUGCGCCCGCCGCUACGACAGCUGCUUCCGUUGUGUGGCCGAUCCAUACUGCGGCUGGGACCAGGAGGUGAAUGCCUGCCGUCCCUACCAGCUCGGACUCCUUCAGGAUGUGGCCAACGAGACGUCGGGCAUCUGCGAUACGAGUGUGCUCCGCAAGCGUGUCACCUCCUCCUACGGCCAGACUCUGCAUCUCUCGUGCUUCGUCAAGAUGCCAGAGGUGCUGAGGAAGAAGCAGACGCGAUGGUAUCAUCACUCCACGGAGAAGGGACGCUAUGAGGUACGCUACACGCCCACCAAAUACAUUGAAACGAACGAGGGCGGCUUGGUCCUGCUGGCGGUUAAUGAGGGCGACGGCGGCCGCUAUGAUAGCUACUUGGAUGGCACCCUGCUCUGCAGCUAUGGGGUAACCGUGGACGCGCACAGAUGCUCGCCUCCAUCGCAGAAGCAGGACUACCAGAAGAUCUACUCGCAUUGGUGCAACGAAUUCGAGAAAUACAAAUCGGCCAUGAAACAAUGGCAGGCCAAACAGGAGCAAUGCGGCCUCAAGGACAAGGCAGGAUCUGUCAGCAGCAAUGGCAAACAUGUCAACGAUGUGUUCAGCAAUGAUGCCCUGGUCUGACCCAGAAAGUACUUAUAUAGCUCUGAGUUCUUGUCGUCGUCAGCGUCGGAGGGAGGCGUGCCGCCCGCCCACCACAAACUGUACAUUUUCGUGUUCGUGCUUGCCAUAUUUGCUCGUUUCUAAAGUUUCUAGUUCAAAUGUAAAUGUGCGAAGGAAAUGAAGCAAAACCAAACACAGUAAGCAGAAGGAAGAAGAUGGAGAUGAAGAUGCCAGGAUGGGAAAAAUCAUGUGACAAGAGCCGAGCAGAAACCAACUACAAAGACUGAAAUUUUUAAGCUUUUAGCAUCGACAAUAUUUCGGAUAAUUUCAAUGAGUUUUUUGAUCACACAUUCGUUACGUUUGCCUUUCCGUUUCCGUUCGUUUUGAGAUGUUGUCAGCGUCAAACAUUGAUUGAUUUCGACAUUAACUAACUGAUAUACAAAGAUGGAGUAAACGAUAAAAGUUACUAGAAAAAGGAUCCUGCCAUAAAUCAAAUGGAAAUUACGGUUUUACACACACACACACACACAGAAUACACUCUCCGACACAGAGAAUCUCUAUAUCUAUUUCGAGCUACGGUUAAGGAUUAAAAACCACCUAAAGUGAGAAUCUGACAAUUAUAUACAUACAUACAUAGCUCACAUGAUGAUGAUGAUGAUAAUGAUGAUCACUUUUAACAUUAAUUUCCAUUUAGUUAUGUUUUCGAGAACUCGUCGCUUGGCCAUUUUGGGUUUUUGGGGUUGGGAAGAUCUUAAACGAAUUUGUAUAUUACUUAGCAAUAUUUGUUUAACUAAACAUAGACUAAGCUAUACGUAUACAUUACAAUAUAUACAUAUACUCGUACGUACAUGCAUAUGUACAUGUAUGUAUUUGAAUAUCUGCCCAAUGUUUAGGUCAUAGACAAGUACGGAACCAACUUAUACUAUAUAGCCAAAACAGAACAGAACAGAGCAGAAAGAGAAACAGAAUCAGAAUCCAUGACGCACAGCAGAUAGGUAAAGAGGAUUAUGGAUCGAGGAUAAUGGUGGAUGUUGUAUAUAGUAGAACUGCUUUAGUUGAUAAGAUAUUUAACCAGACAUUGAUUUCUACGUUUCUACAAUUCGAUUUUGAUUUUGAACGAUUCGCUAUUUGGCAUUAACUCGCUCUUGUAUAGAUUGUGCGUUGGCCUGUAAUGUUUAUGAUAAGCAAUAAAUAUAUAGUUAUACAUACAUAUAUUAACGUCUAGAUAACCUCUAGUGCUAACCAUAAAUACAUAGAUAUCGUACAUAAAGUUACUGCAUUGAGACCAGCAUCCAACAUGCUCAUGAGAUUACUUAACCCCUAGCUGUAGGUUAGUUGGUGUGGCAAAUAUGUACGUUUUUAUAGAAAAAACGAACUAAAAAAGUAACUCAGACACACGAUACAAAUGCAUUUAGUAAGACAUAUGUAUUUUAUGGCUCAGAGGCAACAGUAGGCAGAGGGAUAAGCAUAUCCCUAAUACGAAGGAAAUACUUUGAAAAAGCCAUAAAAAGAGCAUAAGCCAUGGAAAAACUAAACGCUUUACAGAACAGUUAAACCGAAAAGGUACGAGUAUUUGCAGAAAAAUAGAGGAAAACAAAAUGAAUGGGACACUAACUAAACCAUUAUCCCACACACAAAAACACACAACACACUCACACAAACAAUAUUUUUCUAAAGAUUUUCUCAGCAAAAUUUUAAAUGUUUCCCAACCGAAAAAUAGGAAAAAUAUAACCAACAUUUUUAUCGUUGCAUACUAAAAUAAUAAAUACUACAAAGAAAAACAAAAACAAAAAACUAUGGAUAAUGUUUAAAAGCUACUAAUGCUCUGAGCUUCUAACUUUAAUGAAUCAAAUGAUUUUUGUUGUCGCCUUUGGUAGUUUUUGUGUUCGAGAAUUUUAUUGUAAAUAAUUUGAAGAUUAUGUGAAAUGUUUUGUAUGACAAUCACAUGAUGUUGAGUAAAAAGAUAUUGAAAACAAGAGAAAAAACUGACAGAAAACAGAAUUCAAUUGCCAUGAUGGCAAUUAAAGAUGGAAAUUAAUAUUAAUUGAGUACUUAAUACACAAUUUAUUGUAAAAAUAGUAAUAACUAAUAAUAAAAUAUUCGCAAUUUAUAUACACACAUACACAAACAAAAACACACACAGACACAAAAACAAACAGCAAUAAAUACAUACAUAGAUAAACCACUUUUACAAAGUAUUCAUACAAUAAACGAGAAUUUGCGCUUAAAUUACAAAAAUUCAAAUGUAGUUCAAUUCGAGCUAUUUGAAAAAAAAAAAUGCAAAUUGAUGAUUCAAGAGCUAUAAAAUAUUCCAACAAAAACAAAAAAACCCAAACGGAAAACAGAAUAAUUCAAUGAAAUAAAACAAAACAAAACAAAUUAGCUGUAAACACAUAUAAAGAAAAUGCAGUAAAUAAAUGUGAUAAGAUUCUUUAAUAAGCAAAAAACGAAAGUUCGA
Drosophila obscura is the source of this 5387-nucleotide RNA transcript. It is a transcript of the gene named semaphorin-2A, with no coding region annotated. The record is from RefSeq and is a predicted model, not a curated record. NCBI's taxonomy places the organism in Eukaryota, Metazoa, Arthropoda, Insecta, Diptera, Drosophilidae. The transcript has 16 exons.